This 462-nucleotide ribosomal RNA is filed under the name uncultured bacterium. RNAcentral's name for it is "partial 16S ribosomal RNA". It matches the Rfam family "Bacterial small subunit ribosomal RNA", at positions 28 to 507 of the family's 1533-position model. The record is from RNAcentral.
GAUGAACGCUGACAGAAUGCUUAACACAUGCCAGUCAUUGGCGAAGCUGCGCUUGCGCAGUCUAGCCAAGGCGGACGGGUGAGUAACGCGUAAGGAACUUGCCCUGCAGACAGGGAUAACAGACGGAAACGACUGAUAACACCUGGUAUUGUCAGGCUGGCGCAUGCCGGCCUGAUGAAAGGAGACGCUGCAGGAGAGCCUUGCGUCCUAUUAGCUAGUUGGUGGGGUAACGGCCCACCAAGGCGAUGAUAGGUAGCCGGCCUGAGAGGGUGAACGGCCACAGGGGGACUGCAAUACGGCCGUUACUCCUACGGGAGGCAGCAGUGGGGAAUAUUGGACAAUGGGGGCAACCCUGAUCCAGCAAUUCUGUGUGCACGAAGAAGGUUGUCUGAUUGUAAAGUGCUUUCAGCAGGGAAGAAGAAAGUGACGGUACCUGCAGAAGAAGCGACGGCUAAAUACGUG